AUUUAUUCUCCACCAGACUUACGAAACUGCGAUCCAAGGCCACCCAGGUGCCCUACUUUGUCAUAGUGUGAGUGAGAGGAACUUGCCAGGGAUUGAAAACUACAGAACAUAGCUGUUUUGGAAAGAAUUGGAUUUGAAGGUAUUACACCCAUCCACAUCUGAUGCCAGAGGAGCACAUGAGCCACGCCUCUGCCACAGAGAGCUCCGUCCCAGUGGGUGAUAUAUUUUCUCUGAACUAUUCCUGGAAAAUAUUCCAGAAGACAAAUCAGCAACAGGAUGAAAGAGGCUCUCAGGGAUUGGACGAAGCAGCCUACCCUGGGGAGAGCCAUCUGCUUCCCUGAGUCCAAGGAUUCAAAUGCUGAUCACAUUCUGAAGCACCCUGCUGGACACCCCAGAAACAACAUUUAUUUAAUCUGGGCACCUGUGGGCCAGUCCAGAUGAUACACAGAAUUAACCAUCAUAUAGGUCUUCUUCUGCAGGUUCUUCUUAAUAGGAGCAGUUAGAAAAAUUUCCAGAAUUUUCGAUUAUUUUUUAAUGAUGACUAUGCCUGAUGCUGUUGUUAUGGCCCCAGGAGAACCAGGCUCCGAAAGUCCAAUUCCUUCUGAGGCAAGUCUACCACACAAUAUUUUUGAUGAUUGCUCCUCUUCUUGUUUGCUGGGUUCUGCUGGCUUUAUGCCAAACUACUCUAGAGGCUUUUGGUGAGUUUUUGAUACUUACCUUGCAAAAAGGAAACCAUGAUAAGACAGACAUAUUCCAUCUUACUGAACAGAUAGAUAAUGUACAUGUUAAGUACCACAGGGAAGUAAGUACACCACGAGGAUGAGGGCAACUCACUUCUUUACAGGGUUUCCACUGAGGCAUAGACUGUGAUGCUAUUAAUCAUGACAGGGACUCAGGAGGAGUAUCUGGGAUAAAAGAUCAGUUUGAUUGUGGGGGCUGAAUUUGACCUGUAAGAAACACACAGGUGAUGCACGCUGGUCGACAUCAACACUGCAUCCUUAAAAACAGCAAGCUUUCUGUUUGCAAUUUGGGAAGGGAAAAUAUCAGUCAAGUGCCUUUUACACUUUUUACAUUUAUGCAGUUGAUGUAUUUGUUUUCCAGAUCUUCCGUAAAUUUAGACACCUUGAUGUUCCUGAACCCUUUACUAUUCGGUGUUAUAAAACACCUUUUGCAUUCUGGGAAAGUCAGAGCUUCCUGUGUUGCCAAGGUGCCCUAACCAAACUGAUAUGCACUCUUUUGAGUCUCUAAGCCACACCUAUUUUUUUUUUCAAGGUUUUGCUUAAGACUAAUUCUGCUUGAGCCAUGUUUUGUGGCACACAUCUCAGCACUCUGGGAGGCUGAAGCAGGAGGAAUAAA
Long non-coding RNA from Heterocephalus glaber (naked mole-rat), 1356 nucleotides. RefSeq lists it as uncharacterized. Lineage: Eukaryota; Metazoa; Chordata; Mammalia; Rodentia; Bathyergidae. The record is from RefSeq and is a predicted model, not a curated record.